RNAcentral lists this ribosomal RNA (728 nucleotides) under uncultured Staphylococcus sp. RNAcentral describes it as "bacterial SSU rRNA". It matches the Rfam family "Bacterial small subunit ribosomal RNA", at positions 68 to 779 of the family's 1533-position model. The record is from RNAcentral. Lineage: Bacteria; Bacillati; Bacillota; Bacilli; Caryophanales; Staphylococcaceae.
AACAGACGAGGAGCUUGCUCCUCUGACGUUAGCGGCGGACGGGUGAGUAACACGUGGAUAACCUACCUAUAAGACUGGGAUAACUUCGGGAAACCGGAGCUAAUACCGGAUAAUAUAUUGAACCGCAUGGUUCAAUAGUGAAAGACGGUUUUGCUGUCACUUAUAGAUGGAUCCGCGCCGCAUUAGCUAGUUGGUAAGGUAACGGCUUACCAAGGCAACGAUGCGUAGCCGACCUGAGAGGGUGAUCGGCCACACUGGAACUGAGACACGGUCCAGACUCCUACGGGAGGCAGCAGUAGGGAAUCUUCCGCAAUGGGCGAAAGCCUGACGGAGCAACGCCGCGUGAGUGAUGAAGGUCUUCGGAUCGUAAAACUCUGUUAUUAGGGAAGAACAAAUGUGUAAGUAACUAUGCACGUCUUGACGGUACCUAAUCAGAAAGCCACGGCUAACUACGUGCCAGCAGCCGCGGUAAUACGUAGGUGGCAAGCGUUAUCUGGAAUUAUUGGGCGUAAAGCGCGCGUAGGCGGUUUUUUAAGUCUGAUGUGAAAGCCCACGGCUCAACCGUGGAGGGUCAUUGGAAACUGGAAAACUUGAGUGCAGAAGAGGAAAGUGGAAUUCCAUGUGUAGCGGUGAAAUGCGCAGAGAUAUGGAGGAACACCAGUGGCGAAGGCGACUUUCUGGUCUGUAACUGACGCUGAUGUGCGAAAGCGUGGGGAUCAAACAGGAUU